CACAGCUCAUUAGAACCCGGAAGGUGAUGAUGACUACACCUCGUCCGACGACUAGACCUACUACUACCACCACUGCUCCGGCAGAGAUUGACCAUAGGCCGGUGAAUCCGGUUGACCCGGUUGGUCCUCCAGUCCCACAUGCACCAACAUCUUCGACUUCUUCGGUGGCGCUACCUGUUAGCGCUCGACGUGCUCAUUGACGCCCCUGCACUUUGGAGCAGAUGUCGCCAUCGGGAUCCACAACCGAUGCCUUGAGUCCACAGCCAAGUAUACUAUCCUAAUUUACUCCCUCAUUCCCAUGUUAACUUAGUUUUGUUAUUUUAGGUUCAGUUUGUUAAGUUAUGUCAUUUAAGGAUUAAAAGUUAUUAUAUAUAUAUAUUGUUGUCAUCAUACCAAACCCAUUAUUAAACAGUUGUGAUCAUUGUGUUGGAUACAUAUUCAAGGUUUUGGAAAAUGGUUUCAUUAUAGGGAGGUUCUGCCGAAAUUUCGGUAGGAUUUGUUAUUGGUUUUAGGUUAACAUUAAUUUUUCAUUUCUUUGCACACAAGAAAAAAACCCGAGGACCUUGUCGACAAUUGAAGAUGGCGAAAAUCACCCAGGUCACCAAUGGUCAUAUCACAGUUGGAUACGAUGGGCGACAUCGAGCAACACCAACGGUGGAGCAGCAUAGUGCAUUGGUCCACGACAUUGGGCACGUCGUGUUGACCUAUUGCCCUAUGCACUGGAAGUCUUGGAAGGCAAUGCCGGAGGAGGUGAAAAACACGGUGCACAAUCAUUUGUCGACAAACUACCAUUUCGAUGACAUCAACAAGGACAUGUUGGUGUACCUCAAUUGACUCUUCUCCAAAUGCUACAAGCAGUGGAAGAGUGACCUGCGCCAGUAUUUCAAGAUGUUUGAUGAUCCACAGGUCGCUCUGGAGGAGGGUUGCCCGAAUUAGUUCGAGGACCGACAAGAUAGUUAGGUUUGGCUCUGCAAUCAUUUUCAGGGGCUGGGCUAUGUGAAGAAGGCGAACACAAACAAGAUCAAUCAGGAGAAGAAGACUCUUCUCCACCAUUCGGGUUCGACUCAUUUCUCAUAUAGGAUGGAGGCAUGACGGAAGGGUUCAAAAUUCUCGAAGAUCGACGCCUUUGCUGACGUUUAUGUUCGGCAUGGGGAUAAGUUGGCCAAGUCCUUUCAUGCGACUAUGUUGGAGAAAGGUCAGUUGGUCCUUCUGGAGUUCGCCUUCUAGCUUCCCCCAGACAUGCCGAACGAGUCUGUGGAUCCCCUUGAGGAUGCGAGGUUUCACAUCCUUACAGAGACAUUCGACCAAACUUUUGGUCGGAGGCCAAGGACAUAUUGUCGGGGUAUAAGAAAUGCCAGACAACGGGAAAGUGGAGCCUCUUCAUUCUCUUAGUCGAAGGGCGAGGUUACGGCUUUAAUGCAAGAAGUCGCUGGCCUAAGGAGUGAGCUCGCAUCGUACAAGACUCAAAUGUCAUUGAUUGUACAAGCCCUCAGUUCCUCCAGGAUUCGUCCCCUAGAUUUUCCUGCAUCACCGCCGUCAGAGACCCUUCACACAGAGCAUACACAGCAAUCAGACCCGUUGACCUUCGACCCCGUUCCCAACCCCACCCUCUUCUAGCAGCAAGAUUACCAAGCACUUCCAAACGACUUGCCCAUAGAUUAUGCCUCAUUUUUUUUUGUUUUUUUUUCCCGCUUUCUUUUUUAA
Non-coding RNA from Malus domestica (apple), 1704 nucleotides. The record is from RefSeq and is a predicted model, not a curated record. Lineage: Eukaryota; Viridiplantae; Streptophyta; Magnoliopsida; Rosales; Rosaceae.